RNAcentral lists this ribosomal RNA (428 nucleotides) under uncultured bacterium. Its description in RNAcentral is "partial 16S ribosomal RNA". It matches the Rfam family "Bacterial small subunit ribosomal RNA", at positions 354 to 796 of the family's 1533-position model. The record is from RNAcentral.
GUGGGGAAUAUUGGGCAAUGGGGGCAACCCUGACCCAGCAACGCCGCGUGAGGGAAGAAGGUUUUCGGAUUGUAAACCUCUGUCCUAUGGGAAGAAGGAAGUGACGGUACCAUAGGAGGAAGCCCCGGCUAACUACGUGCCAGCAGCCGCGGUAAUACGUAGGGGGCGAGCGUUGUCCGGAAUUACUGGGCGUAAAGGGUGCGCAGGUGGCUUGACAAGUCAGAUGUGAAAUACCGAUGCUUAACGUCGGGGCUGCAUUUGAAACUAUGAGGCUGGAGUGCAGGAGAGGUAAGCGGAAUUCCUAGUGUAGCGGUGAAAUGCAUAGAUAUUAGGAGGAACACCAGUGGCGAAGGCGGCUUUCUGGACUGUAACUGACACUGAGGCACGAAAGCGUGGGGAGCAAACAGGAUUAGAAACCCCAGUAGUCC